This 512-nucleotide ribosomal RNA is filed under the name uncultured bacterium. Its description in RNAcentral is "partial 16S ribosomal RNA". It matches the Rfam family "Bacterial small subunit ribosomal RNA", at positions 28 to 507 of the family's 1533-position model. The record is from RNAcentral.
GACGAACGCUGGCGGCGUGCCUAAUACAUGCAAGUCGAGCGAGCGGAACUAACAGAUUUACUUCGGUAAUGACGUUAGGAAAGCGGGCGGCGGAUGGGUGAGUAACACGUGGGGAACCUGCCCCAUAGUCUGGGAUACCACUUGGAAACAGGUGCUAAUACCGGAUAAGAAAGCAGAUCGCAUGAUCAGCUUUUAAAAGGCGGCGUAAGCUGUCGCUAUGGGAUGGCCCCGCGGUGCAUUAGCUAGUUGGUAAGGUAAAGGCUUACCAAGGCGAUGAUGCAUAGCCGAGUCGAGAGACUGAUCGGCCACAUUGGGACUGAGACACGGCCCAGACUCCUACGGGAGGCAGCAGUAGGGAAUCUUCCACAAUGGACGCAAGUCUGAUGGAGCAACGCCGCGUGAGUGAAGAAGGUUUUCGGAUCGUAAAGCUCUGUUGUUGGUGAAGAAGGAUAGAGGUAGUAACUGGCCUUUAUUUGACGGUAAUCAACCAGAAAGUCACGGCUAACUACGUG